AUACGAAAGGUGCAAGCGUUGUUCGGAUUUACUGGGCGUAAAGAGAGUGUAGGUUGUUUAUUAAGUCGGAUGUGAAAUCCCGGGGCUCAACCUCGGAACUGCAUUCGAUACUGGUAGACUAGAGUUCGGGAGGGGAGUGGAAUUCCGUGUGUAGCAGUGAAAUGCGUAGAUAUACGGAGGAACACCUGAGGCGAAGGCGGCUUACUGGACCGAUACUGACACUGAGACUCGAAAGCGUGGGUAGCAAACAGGAUUAGAUACCCCGGUAGUCC
This 272-nucleotide ribosomal RNA is filed under the name uncultured bacterium. RNAcentral describes it as "partial 16S ribosomal RNA". It matches the Rfam family "Bacterial small subunit ribosomal RNA", at positions 523 to 796 of the family's 1533-position model. The record is from RNAcentral.